Molecule: transfer RNA, 72 nt
Filed under: Capra hircus (goat)
Lineage: Eukaryota; Metazoa; Chordata; Mammalia; Artiodactyla; Bovidae
Also listed under: 1 other name
Rfam family: tRNA
About the family: Transfer RNA (tRNA) molecules are approximately 80 nucleotides in length. Their secondary structure includes four short double-helical elements and three loops (D, anti-codon, and T loops).
Source: Rfam by way of RNAcentral
UCCCUGGUGGCUCAGUUGGUAAAGAAUCUGCCUGCAAUGCAGGAGACCCAGGUUCGAUCCCUGGGAUGGGAA